UUUCCCCCUAACCCUUCACAACCAGAGCCCGCUGCACUGUGCGCUAAGUGACGGAAUAGCUCUUUGCAGUCGAUUGCGUGAUGGGGUAGUCCAUACCCCUUCAAUUUGUUACAGGAGUAAUGCUGCAUGCGCCAUACUUUUUAAUAGUUCAAUCUUGUGUUUCAGCUGUUGACUUAUUUCUCCACAUGUUUGAUGUUUGCUUUUACAUUGCACACACAGAAAAUGACAAAAAGUGCCCGGAGUGCCAGGGCCAAUAUGCCAAAUUGUCCGGGCACUAAAGAAAUGUGCAUGGUGUCACGGACUGGGAGGAGAGGAGGCUGAUGCUAGGCCUGGCAUCCGGAAGAUAUGGAGGCCGACUGAGCUGCCCAGACGUGAAGUGCCACGGUUUGACAUUCUCGCGGUUGGACUGCCACCUGGUCAACAUGCACAACAUGGCAAAGAAGGCGAGGACAUUUAUUGCUGAGCCAGCGAAAGGUUGCAGUGAAUGAAAGGCUUCUAAAAAUCAAAAAUGAAAAAAAAGAAAUACAGCUGAUUCAGCAAUCGCUGCUGUCCGUUGGUGAGGAACUCCAUGAAGCUGGGAAAGAGGAGGCAGGUCCUUCUGUCCGUGGAGAAGCUGCCUCUGUAGCUACACCACAACCACCUCAGCCUCAGGUAGCCGGGUCACCACCGACUGCUGGCUCUCCCUCACCUGCUGGCUGUCCGCCACCAUUGUGUCCU
Molecule: long non-coding RNA, 717 nt
Organism: Perca flavescens (yellow perch)
Lineage: Eukaryota; Metazoa; Chordata; Actinopteri; Perciformes; Percidae
Exons: 4
Source: RefSeq, a predicted model, not a curated record